GGAGGAGGCUCUUGGGUUGUAAACCUCUUUUCUCAGGGAAGAACAGAAUGACGGUACCUGAGGAAUAAGCAUCGGCUAACUCCGUGCCAGCAGCCGCGGUAAUACGGAGGAUGCAAGCGUUAUCCGGAAUGAUUGGGCGUAAAGGGUCCGCAGGUGGCAUUGUAAGUCUGCUGUUAAAGAGUUUGGCUCAACCAAAUAAAAGCAGUGGAAACUACAAAGCUAGAGUGUGGUCGGGGCAGAGGGAAUUCCUGGUGUAGCGGUGAAAUGCGUAGAUAUCAGGAAGAACACCGGUGGCGAAGGCGCUCUGCUAGGCCAAGACUGACACUGAGGGACGAAAGCUAGGGGAGCGAAUGGGAUUAGAUACCCCAGUAGUCCUAGCCGUAAACGAUGGAUACUAGGCGUAGCUCGUAUCGACCCGAGCUGUGCCGUAGCUAACGCGUUAAGUAUCCCGCCUGGGGAGUACGCAGGCAACUGUGAAACUCAAAGGAAUUGACGGGGGCCCGCACAAGCGGUGGAGUAUGUGGUUUAAUUCGAUGCAACGCGAAGAACCUUACCAAGGCUUGACAUGUCACGAAUUCCGUUGAAAGAUGGAAGUGCCUUCGGGAGCGUGAACACAGGUGGUGCAUGGCUGUCGUCAGCUCGUGUCGUGA
RNAcentral lists this ribosomal RNA (650 nucleotides) under uncultured cyanobacterium. RNAcentral describes it as "bacterial SSU rRNA". It matches the Rfam family "Bacterial small subunit ribosomal RNA", at positions 406 to 1070 of the family's 1533-position model. Lineage: Bacteria; Bacillati; Cyanobacteriota. The record is from RNAcentral.